AGGAAGAAUUGAAAUGGACAGCAUGGAAAAGAUUCUUAGCACUUGAGAAGGAGAAUCCUCAAAGGAUAGACACCGUUUCUGCUAACAAUUGCAUUUCAUUUACUUAUGGUUUGAUUAUGCCACAUGGCAGGUAUGCCUUUUUGAGAUUUGGUCAUCCUUACUUUCAUUAUUCCAUAUCUCUCAUAAAAAUGGUCUUUUUUUUUGUUCUAAUCGACUCCAACCUAUCUAACUCGUUUCAUAGCUGUUGGGAACAUUCUUCAUGUUGUAUGGUAUUCGACCAAUACUGAUAGGGCCAAGGAAUUUAGAAGUGACAACUUUAUUGGUAACGUAUUUUCUUUUGUGGUAACUUAUGUAUUAUAUAGGGCUCACUUUUUGGUUAGACUCUAACCAAUCAACCUUGCAACCGAGUUUAAAAUUAACAAUUAGUUAAUUAUUUAAAUGAAAAAUAUUUAAUAUAACAAAGUUAUAUAAGUUCAUGGAUACUUACAUGAUGAAAUUAGUAAUCAGUGUCUAUCAAAUGUUUUUACAAUGAGUUUUUUUAAUCCUAAUUAAUAAUAGUUGUUUUAAAUUUUUGUUUUUUAAGUUUUUGAUAAUAACAUGAUUACAAAUGAAUAUAUUCUUACAUUUAUGCUAUUUGGAGAGAACUGAAGACAUAGAUACUCCUACAACAGUGAUAAAUAUCGACAAAAAUACCCCUGGCUUAUUUUUUUGAUGCUUUGUCUUCUGUAAUUUUAUAGCGAUGUGUUUGGUUUUCUUUAUAUUUUGUUUGUAACUUUUUGCUGGUGAAUGGAUGAUUUUGGAUAUGUGAAACUUUGUAGUUUAUGUUGUUGAUUAUUGGCAUGAUAUUUCCAUGAGAAUUGUACAUAUGAUAUUGGAAAUAUGUUUGCUUUUUUUGUAAAUGAAAAAGAAAAGUACAUUGCUAUUAUGUGACUUUUUAAUGUUUGUCAUACAUAACCGAUAAACAAAAGACUAAAACUAUGGUCUUAACUAAACCCUGCUUAGCGGGGUUUCACAGUUGGUGAUUGUUUUUUUUACAGCAAAGGUUGACGUCGUUGACUGGUGCUCCGACUCAUCAACCCCACCUCCUUCGUAUCAAAUUGGUCGCUCCAUUUCAAUCAUUAGGUUUGUUUGAUUAUUUUUAUAAUUUCUUUGGGGGCUGAAAUUGAAGUCGUUGCAGGCUUCAGGAGAGAUAAGCGAGAUGUAAGGAGGAUAAAAGGGAGUUGAACCACACUCCAGGUCAAAUUUAUGGAGCAAAAGCUUGAAGUUCAUCAAAGGGGGGUAGUGAAUCCCUUGGGAUGACAGAGGGAAACUGAUGGAAUCGGCAAGAAAUUGUUUUUACAGGGACAGUCUCAAUAAGCGAUGGUUUUUCUUCAAAAUCAGGAACUUGUAUUAUGCUAUCAAAGGGCAAUUUGGUCAAUCUUUGUUCAACCUUAAAAGUUGCAAGUUAUUACAUAGUUUUGUGAUGGUGAAAGGCCGAACUUGGAAUAAAAAAGAAAAAAGAAAAAGGGAAACAACAAGAAAAGUAAAAGGUUUUUAAACAGUUUUAGAUAGGUUUGGUUAAGGCUCCAAAGGCAUUUUUCUUUCUUUUUUACCAUUUUGUUGACUGCGAAAUUGAUCUGCAUAAUAAGGAGACUCCUUAAGUUUUUUCCAAGUUUAUCAUUGGACUGUUCAUUUCUCUCAAUUAUCAUUUAAUGGAUCAAGGGCAUUUUCAUCAAACAACUAUUUUUCUGCUUACUGUUGUUUUUCACUUUUGGCUAACUAGCAAUUGGUUUGAAGUUAACGUUUUUUAAAGUCCUACCUAAUGCAUUCAGAUGCAAACCAUAUACCUAUACCUAUUUGUCUUUUCUUUUCUUUUUUCAUGUCUCAAUUAACGUUUUUAAAUGGUAUAUAAAGGUUGUUGAGAAUGUUAGAUCAAUUAGUCCUAAUUGGCAAAACAUGUCCUUUUCCCUUUGUGGUGAGAAAAUUCUCCUUUAAAUUGUGGAAUACAUUUAUUAUUAUUAUUGAAUUUGAAAUAAUGUAAUAUGACAACAUUUUCUCUCCCCUUUUGUUGCUUUCUUUGUUUGUAAUUCAGUGUUGUUGUUGUUGUUGUUUUUUUUUUUAAAAUUGUCUGGUUUGGUUGAAUGGAAUUGUUCAUUUUAUUACAGAAUGGAAUGUAAAAUUGCAAAACAGUAUAUUUUUAACUGUGUAAUUUUUAAUGACAAUUUUGUUAAAAUAAAAGUAAUAAAGAUAAUUGAUUGGCCAAGUUGCACCACAUAUAAAGAACACUUCACAAUGAUGUUUAAUGCAGUAAUUGUAUUUAUUUUCUUUUGGUUAAUGACAUAUUUUUUGUGUAGGGUUAAGGAGAGGUUGGAAGUAUAGUUUUUUUUUUAUGUUUUUCAUUACUAUUUGUGUAUGCUAUAUCUUUGAUAUGAUAUGGUUUUAAUCUGCAGUUGACAGAAACGUGAUAAUCAAGCUAAUGAAUAUUAAACGUAGAAUCAUUUAACUAUAACAAAAAACCAAUAUUGAAGGAUUUCGGAAAAACAACAUUGAAGGCUUUCGACCCCCGCAAAGCGGGGGGUCACUUUUCUAGUCUAGUUAAUAAUAAAAACCAAAAUGAAAAAGUUUUUCUAUUACGAGAGAUGCAAUAAAUUUUUGAAUUUUAAGUUUUUUUAUAAAAAAAAUCAUGUAAAAAACUUCUAUAUAUUUUAACGUGGAUUCUUUAAACUAUGUAAUGAAAUGAUUUUUAUGCUUAAUGCUCAUGUUUUUACAAAUGUGUUUUAUGAGUCUUUUUAUGAAAAAAAAAAUAAUUUGAUUAAUAUCUAAAGACUUUUAAGGAGAUUUAUAUCAAUCAGAAUUAGAUGUUUGUUUUUUCUGAGGCAAAAUGUCUGCAGUUUGCGGACCAUAUCUGUAGACCUCUGCGGUAGAAGAGGUGGACCAAACUUCUGCAGUCUGAAAAAAGAA
Long non-coding RNA from Lactuca sativa (garden lettuce), 2940 nucleotides. RefSeq lists it as uncharacterized. Lineage: Eukaryota; Viridiplantae; Streptophyta; Magnoliopsida; Asterales; Asteraceae. The record is from RefSeq and is a predicted model, not a curated record.